This 766-nucleotide long non-coding RNA is filed under the name Ananas comosus (pineapple). RNAcentral describes it as "long non-coding RNA (ACOM_LNC037363)". Lineage: Eukaryota; Viridiplantae; Streptophyta; Magnoliopsida; Poales; Bromeliaceae. The record is from RNAcentral.
UAUAUAUAUAUAUAUAUAUAAAUUUGUAUGAUUUGUCUCAUAUUUGAUUUUUAAAUUUAUUUAAAUUUUGAAUUAUGAUAAUCAAUUUGUUUUUUUUUUUGAGAGAGAUAGGUAGCACGCUACCCGCUUCGUUUAUUUUAUUUAGAAAUAAACUUAGCUGAAUAUGUGAAUCAACUAGAAUUCGAACUUGAGUCUCGGGUACCAACCACCAAGCCAUUUGCCACUUGCUCUAGGAACGGUCGGUGAUAAUCAAUCGGUCGGUGAUAAUCAAUUUGUUUAUAUGUCAUAAUAUCAAUUAUUGAUCUAUCGAUCAUGAAUGCCAGUUUAAAAGUGACGUGGGUCGCAAGAGUGCUACCUACUGCAGCAACAAAAGAAUGCUUUUUUUUUUUUUUGACAAAUAAGAAUAAUAUAUUUCAACAGAGCAAAUUAUACAUAUAAAUGUAUAUGUAUGAUUAUUAGUAAAUUUUAAUUUAAUGAUUUUCUGGAAUUUUUGUAUAAUGUUACAGAUUAUUGGUCUGACAUAGUAGGGAGAGUAGAUCUAGUAGCGACAUCGUAAAAUUUAUGCGAAUAAGAAUAAAAUGUUGUAGGGAUAAAAGAAUACAGAUAAGAAAUUAUCUUUAUGAUAGAUACUCUCUCUAGUUUACCGCAUUUUUGUUUUAAUAUUUCGUCAUUUUAUUAUGUCACUUAAGAUUAUUAUUUCUAUUUUUUUGCUUUUUGUUAGCAUCCUGCUAUCUUUUCCGUUAAAAUCAUCAUGUGCUGUACACGC